RNAcentral lists this ribosomal RNA (395 nucleotides) under uncultured Actinomycetes bacterium. Its description in RNAcentral is "bacterial SSU rRNA". It matches the Rfam family "Bacterial small subunit ribosomal RNA", at positions 9 to 402 of the family's 1533-position model. Lineage: Bacteria; Bacillati; Actinomycetota; Actinomycetes. The record is from RNAcentral.
GAGUUUGAUCCUGGCUCAGGAUGAACGCUGGCGGCGUGCUUAACACAUGCAAGUCGAACGCUGAAGCCCCAGCUUGCUGGGGUGGAUGAGUGGCGAACGGGUGAGUAACACGUGAGUAACCUUCCCUUGACUCUGGGAUAAGCCUGGGAAACCGGGUCUAAUACCGGAUACGACCGGUCACCGCAUGGUGGCCGGUGGAAAGAUUUAUCGGUCUUGGAUGGACUCGCGGCCUAUCAGCUGGUUGGUGGGGUAAUGGCCCACCAAGGCGACGACGGGUAGCCGGCCUGAGAGGGUGACCGGCCACACUGGGACUGAGACACGGCCCAGACUCCUACGGGAGGCAGCAGUGGGGAAUAUUGCACAAUGGGCGCAAGCCUGAUGCAGCGACGCCGCGU